GUACACAGGGGAUCAGCAGGAUGGAUGGAUGGAUGGAUUGUGGCCAGAGCAGCACAUUUCAGGUAAACAGAGAUGGGUAGGUAUUAGGAUGAUUAGUAGGGAAUGUCCUUUCUCUUGCAGAUGGAGGAUAUUGAGGAGAUUGCUGGACAAAACUUGGAGAGAAUUGUUGGAAACUGCUAGAAGACAUCACUUUGAAGAUGGCAGGAGAGAAACUGUGAUGCACACAGGAACCACCAUUCAGAAUUAGACAGCCUUUGGAAAGUGCUUUGGAGAGCGGAGCGGCAAUUGCGCUGAGCGUAGGCACACAGGCUUACGCUGGAAACUCAUCAGUGGACUUCCCUCCCUCAUCAAUAUAGGCUAUAUUUUUUCCAAACUUUUCUCAUUCUCAAUAAUUCAGGUUUUGAUAUAUUAAUAUAAAAGAUUAAUAUGAUUGAAUGUCUGAAUGGAACCGUCUGUCUUCAGAAAAGUUUCGAUGGCAUUUUCGUUUAUGAGUGGAGCACUGCUUCCUGUACAGCCAUUACCAUGGAAACCACUAUAUUUGUUCCAAAAAAGCCUCCUACUGGCAGAGAAUGAAUGUGCAUUUGCCAUAAUUCCAUCUGCUGUUUUUGUGCAGACCAUUGCGAAAUCCACCUCAUUUUAAAUUAAUAUAAUAGUUUAUGAUUCAGAACAACCCCAUUUCUUAAAGGGGUUAUGUGAUGCUGCUAAAAAGAACAUUAUUUUGUGUAUUUGGUGUAAUGCAAUGUGUUUAUGCAUUUAAGGUUCAAAAAACACAUUAUUUUCCAUAUAAUGUACACUAUUGUUUCUCCUCUAUGCCCUGCCUUUCUGAAACGUGAUUUUUACAAAGCUUAUCAUUCUGAAAAAGCGAGGUGUGCUCUGACUGGCCAGCUAACUAGUGCUUUGUGAUUAGCCCAAUGCCUCAAGCGUGUGACGGAAAUGUUACGCCCCUUACCAUACUGUGAUGCCGUCUAACAGGCCAGCAGCACGAAACUCAGUCCAGCUGCUCUGCUCGUGCACAUCCCAUCAUCGGUUCUCUUUUAGUUGUUUAGUCAAUGUACUGUUAGGAGUAACUGAAUAACUCGGGAUAUUGGUUUAUUUCACAUCAGAGGGAGUGUAAGGCACGUUUAUAAACCGAAUAACUUAAGUAAUUUGUGGAUUAGUGCGUACUGGAGACGCGAACCAUUUCAAAUGAUUCAGUUUGAUUUGGUGAACUGGUUCGACUGGUUCACUAAGAAGAUCUGGUUAAAUAGAAAGAUGCGUUCACGCUCCGGACAUCACUAGAUGAUACAAAACCAAUAAAACCCAUUACAAACGAGGCAUUUGUAGCAUCCAGUUGGGACAUAAUUACUGAUUAUAAUGACUUAUACUGUCUUUUGACGUGUUGCGUAUCGCACUGCGUAAACAUAAAACCAUGUCUGCAUUUGUGAUCUGAGAAACAACAAACAACAAGCCUACUCUACUGCUCAAAACUCACAUUUGAAUCAUCAUUGACUAAUUAUCCAAUUAUAAAAAACAUACUUACAGGCUAUGAGACAGAAGCGCCAGACUAUCCUUGCAAAGUAGAAACAGCCUUUGUGUCACAGACGCAGUGCAGGCUACUGGUUCUUGAAACAGUCCUCAUCCUCCAUAAAAUGUGCUGCACACAUCUGAAUAUUUGGGCUGAACUGUUCUGGAACAGUGUUGAAAUACAACUUAACCACUGAUUUCUAGUUGUGUCCUCUUUUGGAAGGUCAAACAAAGUAGUUUCGCUUUCACAAUGAAACACAGCUUCUCCACAACAUGGCAGCGGCAGCAACAGCGAGAAUAAAAGUUACGCCUUCUUUCUUUGCGUGAACAUUUGGGUGGCAUUAUGCAAAUCUUCCCACAUAGUGACGUAGAGAUGUGUUUGAAUGAGCCGUUUUAGGGGGGUGUGGUUGACUCUUAACUUUUAUAAAGAAUAUUUCUUUGGAUUUGAGACUUUAGUCUUUGCAACUUUACAGAUUUCUUUAUGCACCAAGAGCUUGUAACACUCCAAAGAGAAAGGAACAAUUGAAAUCGCAUCAUAUGAACCCUUUAAAAAAGAAUGGUUUAAUGGCUCAAUUGUGAGAUUUAUAAUUUUAUAAUUUAUUUUGUUUUGUGAAAACCUGUAUCUCAACUGUAAAACAAUU
This is a long non-coding RNA of Cyprinus carpio carpio, 2144 nucleotides long. The record is from Ensembl. NCBI's taxonomy places the organism in Eukaryota, Metazoa, Chordata, Actinopteri, Cypriniformes, Cyprinidae.